Molecule: long non-coding RNA, 513 nt
Organism: Helianthus annuus (common sunflower)
Lineage: Eukaryota; Viridiplantae; Streptophyta; Magnoliopsida; Asterales; Asteraceae
Exons: 2
Source: RefSeq, a predicted model, not a curated record
AAUUAAAUGCGGUGGUAUGAUCGUAAUAUACAAAGAUUCACAUAGAAACUGUGUAGAAAGAGACAUAAUCAUCAAUUGCAAAACCCCAGUUUAUGUAACUUAAUUGCGAGAUUUGGAAACUGAAUACAAUCUUCAGAGCGAAAUCAAGCCCUAAAUUCUAUCAUCUACUUCAUCCGAAUAAACACACAUUAUUCUCGAUCUUGAUUCUACACAAAAAACACAAGUCGAUCAUGACGAUAACAAAACUCGGAGGGACAAAAGAAGCAAAUCAAACAAUGAAAAUCUACAAGCAUAGAAGAUGAAUCCAGAUUCGAUCAAACAUUUCUCUGUUCAUAGAUAGCAUUUUGAUAAUUUCCUAAAGUUAGGGUUUUGAUAACGUGCGUAUGUGUGUUUAUAACAUGCGUUUUUUCAUAAAUAGCCUUUUGAUAACAUGUGGUUCUUGUGAUUCAAACAUAUUGUCUUGUUAAACAUGUGGUUCUUGAUCUUUAACAUGCGGUUCUUGUUCUAUUCUUA